This 27-nucleotide small RNA is filed under the name Bombyx mori (domestic silkworm). RNAcentral's name for it is "ovarian small RNA-26137". The record is from RNAcentral. Lineage: Eukaryota; Metazoa; Arthropoda; Insecta; Lepidoptera; Bombycidae.
UCAUCGUCAUGUGCAAGUGAUGCUUCA